AAGAGCAGGAGUUAUCGAGAGGAAUACAGGACCUGUUGAAGUUGGAAAGACUUCAGGUGGAGCUUACAGAGCGUUGCGGAGGUCAGCCCACUUUUACCCAAUGGGCUGCUGCUGCCGGAGUUGACCAGAUGACCCUAAGAAAGCGUUUGAACUAUGGCAUUCUUUGUAAAGAUAAAAUGAUUAAGAGCAACGUGAGGCUCGUUAUUUCUAUUGCCAAAAAUUAUCAAGGAGUAGGGAUGAACCUUCAAGAUUUGGUUCAGGAAGGAUGUCGGGGCCUCGUAAGAGGAGCUGAAAA
This 295-nucleotide unclassified non-coding RNA is filed under the name Hevea brasiliensis (rubber tree). The record is from RNAcentral. Lineage: Eukaryota; Viridiplantae; Streptophyta; Magnoliopsida; Malpighiales; Euphorbiaceae.